GUUGGGUAAACCUGCCCAUCAGAAGGGGAUAACACUUGGAAACAGGUGCUAAUACCGUAAACACUAUUUUCCGCAGGAAAAAAGUUGAAAGGCGCUUUGCGUCACUGAUGGAUGGACCCGCGGUGCAUUAGCUAGUUGGUGAGGUAACGGCUCACCAAGGGCACGAUGCAUAGCCACCUGAGAGGGUGAUCGGCCACACUGGGACUGAGACACGGCCCAGACUCCUACGGGAGGCAGCAGUAGGGAAUCUUCGGCAAUGGACGAAAGUCUGACCGAGCAACGCCGCGUGAGUGAAGAAGGUUUUCGGAUCGUAAAACUCUGUUGUUAGAGAAGAACAGGAUGAGAGUAAAAUGUUCAUCCCUUGACGGUAUCUAACAGAAGCCACGGCUAACUACCUGCCACAGCCGCGGUAUACGUAGUGGCAAGCGUUGUCCGGAUUUAUUGGGCGUAAAGCAGCGCAGGCGGUUU
Molecule: ribosomal RNA, 468 nt
Filed under: Enterococcus sp.
Lineage: Bacteria; Bacillati; Bacillota; Bacilli; Lactobacillales; Enterococcaceae
Description: bacterial SSU rRNA
Rfam family: Bacterial small subunit ribosomal RNA
Source: RNAcentral